Molecule: long non-coding RNA, 284 nt
Organism: Lynx canadensis (Canada lynx)
Lineage: Eukaryota; Metazoa; Chordata; Mammalia; Carnivora; Felidae
Exons: 6
Source: RefSeq, a predicted model, not a curated record
CCUGGCCGCGACCGUGACCGAGGCGCAGAAAGUGGGACCCCAAGGCCCCCCGGGCCCCCAAGGGCCACCUGGGAAACCGGGCAAGGACGGCAUUGAUGGAGAAGUUGGGCCUCCGGGUCUGCCAGGGUCCCCGGGACCAAAAGGGGCCCCGGGGAAGCCAGGGAAACCAGGGGAGGCUGGGCUCCCAGGACUGCCCGGUGUGGACGGUCUGACAGGACAGGACGGACCACCGGGCCCCAAGGGCGCACCUGGAGAACGGGGAAGUCUGGGCCCCCCGGGGCCCC